GUGUCAGCAGCCGCGGUAAUACGUAGGGAGCAAGCGUUGUCCGGAAUCAUUGGGCGUAAAGGGCGCGUAGGCGGUUUCGUAAGUCAAAUGUGAAAUGCACCAGCUUAACUGGUGAGCUGCGUUUGAAACUGCGAGACUAGAGAUCAGGAGAGGAAAGUGGAAUUCCUAGUGUAGCGGUGAAAUGCGUAGAUAUUAGGAAGAACAUCAAUGGCGAAGGCAGCUUUCUGGACUGACACUGACGCUGAGGCGCGAAAGCGUGGGGAGCAAACAGGAUUAGAUACCCUCGUAGUCC
This 292-nucleotide ribosomal RNA is filed under the name uncultured bacterium. RNAcentral describes it as "partial 16S ribosomal RNA". It matches the Rfam family "Bacterial small subunit ribosomal RNA", at positions 505 to 796 of the family's 1533-position model. The record is from RNAcentral.